AGAGUUUGAUCCUGGCUCAGAGUGAACGCUGGCGGCAGGCCUAACACAUGCAAGUCGAACGGCAGCACAGCAGUAGCAAUACUGCGGGUGGCGAGUGGCGGACGGGUGAGGAAUGCGUCGGAAUCUGCCUAUUUGUGGGGGAUAACGUAGGGAAACUUACGCUAAUACCGCAUACGACCUACGGGUGAAAGUGGGGGACCUUCGGGCCUCACGCAGAUAGAUGAGCCGACGCCGGAUUAGCUAGUUGGCGGGGUAAAGGCCCACCAAGGCGACGAUCCGUAGCUGGUCUGAGAGGAUGAUCAGCCACACUGGGACUGAGACACGGCCCAGACUCCUACGGGAGGCAGCAGUGGGGAAUAUUGGACAAUGGGCGCAAGCCUGAUCCAGCCAUGCCGCGUGUGUGAAGAAGGCCUUCGGGUUGUAAAGCACUUUUGUCCGGAAAGAAAUCCUUUCGAUUAAUACUCGGGAGGGAUGACGGUACCGA
Molecule: ribosomal RNA, 484 nt
Filed under: uncultured bacterium
Lineage: Bacteria
Description: bacterial SSU rRNA
Rfam family: Bacterial small subunit ribosomal RNA
Source: RNAcentral